Molecule: ribosomal RNA, 382 nt
Filed under: uncultured bacterium
Lineage: Bacteria
Description: bacterial SSU rRNA
Rfam family: Bacterial small subunit ribosomal RNA
Source: RNAcentral
GACGAACGCUGGCGGCGUGCUUAACACAUGCAAGUCGAACGAUGAACCACUUCGGUGGGGAUUAGUGGCGAACGGGUGAGUAACACGUGGGCAAUCUGCCCUUCACUCUGGGACAAGCCCUGGAAACGGGGUCUAAUACCGGAUAACACUGCCACGGGCAUCUGUGGUGGUUAAAAGCUCCGGCGGUGAAGGAUGAGCCCGCGGCCUAUCAGCUUGUUGGUGAGGUAAUGGCNCACCAAGGCGACGACGGGUAGCCGGCCUGAGAGGGCGACCGGCCACACUGGGACUGAGACACGGCCCAGACUCCUACGGGAGGCAGCAGUGGGGAAUAUUGCACAAUGGGCGAAAGCCUGAUGCAGCGACGCCGCGUGAGGGAUGACGG